This is a non-coding RNA of Nicotiana tabacum (common tobacco), 415 nucleotides long. Lineage: Eukaryota; Viridiplantae; Streptophyta; Magnoliopsida; Solanales; Solanaceae. The record is from RefSeq and is a predicted model, not a curated record.
UUGUACUUUGCUUCAACACUGCAGUACUAGAGGCCAAACGAUCCAUAAGAUCCCUUUUUAUUUUCUAUCUUCAUUUUGUAUCCUUAUUAGAUUUACCAACAUCAUUGAUGAAAACACAGCAUAUGACAUUUGGACAAGGUUGGAAAAUCUAUACAUGUCCAAAAUGCUGACAAAUAAAUUGUAUCUGAAGAAGCAGCUAUACACCCUACACAUGGGUUAAGGUGGGUGAUUGUGUAUCUUGCACAGUUGAAACCACUCAUCGUACCAAUCUUGAGUGAAGAGAAUGAGAUGCUUAUGAAAGAAAGCGUCCAUCCAAUCCAUUAUACAAGGAAGAAGUAUUUGAAGGCAUGUUGUAGCUGAAGAUACUGUUGUAUCAAAAUUUCUGUGUACUUGUAGUUGGUGGAAGUAAUUUUAA